AUGAAAAAGGCAAAACGUACGAAAGUGCGUGACGCAAAGCUAUGGGGACUAAAUCGCUUGCGCGACAGGUCAGCCCGGC
Molecule: non-coding RNA, 79 nt
Filed under: chicken gut metagenome
Description: Cyclic di-GMP-I riboswitch
Rfam family: c-di-GMP-I riboswitch aptamer
About the family: GEMM was predicted in a large-scale screen for bacterial structured RNA regulatory elements.
Source: RNAcentral